Molecule: long non-coding RNA, 822 nt
Filed under: Fukomys damarensis (Damara mole-rat)
Lineage: Eukaryota; Metazoa; Chordata; Mammalia; Rodentia; Bathyergidae
Description: lncRNA (ENSFDAG00000032483.1)
Source: RNAcentral
CGCAAUACUGUUUUCUUAAUUGUACUUGUUUUAGCUCUUCAAUAUUACAAGAUGCAAAGAGGUAGGAUUAAGUGUAAAAGACUGUGCUGUGCUUUUCCCAUCCAAAAAUGGAGAACUUGGCCAGGGAUUUAGCUCAGUGGUUGCGGCGCCUGCCUCACAAGCGCAAGGACCAGACUUCGAGCCACACGGUAUCAAAAAAAAAAAAAGGAGAACUACUGAAGACAAAGAUUGUGCCUGCCUCUUCUACCUGCCUGUCUGCUGUCAGAGAAGGAAAACAAUUUAGAUUUAAAACUUUUCAGAAAAGAGAGAGACCUGGGCAGCUGAGCACCAGCUGCUGACUUGGAGAACAGCCUGAGGAUAUUAAAAGCUGAGGCAAAGUACUGGAUGGAACGUGACAUAAGGGUUUCAGGUCCACAAGAGGACGCCUAUCACCCCCACACACAUGGCUAUAAGACAUCCUAAAAGAAAAGAGCAAUCCCAAGAAAAGGAGCCCCCUCUGAGGGUGUGUAAAGGACUCAUCUAUUCAGAGCUGCCUGCCCUUGGAAUAAAAGAUCUGAAACCUCAAGAUUGCACAACAGAAUCCCACAGAGCAUUUAGGGUUUGGUCUCCUACAGCUCCUUGGCUAUGAAUUCCAACUGCAAGGGAGUGGUGCACAGACACACUUUUAAUGGAGUUGUGUUACUAAGUUGGGGCAAAUCAUACUCUCUGAGCCUUCCCCGCACCGUAAUAAUAAGCAUUUUAGGAGCUCUAGGUAAUAGUAUGUGCUUGAGCAUUGUUCCUAACACAGUUUGUUUCCUUCUUUCCUUUCUUUAUUGAGCACCU